UACGUAGGUGGCACGCGUUAUCCGGAAUUAUUGGGCGUAAAGCGCGCGUAGGCGGUUUUUUGAGUCUGAUGUGAAAGCCCACGGCUCAACCGUGGAGGGUCAUUGGAAACUGGAAAACUUGAGUGCAGAAGAGGAAAGUGGAAUUCCAUGUGUAGCGGUGAAAUGCGCAGAGAUAUGGAGGAACACCAGUGGCGAAGGCGACUUUCGGGUCUGUAACUGACGCUGAUGUGCGAAAGCGUGGGGAUCAAACAGG
This 253-nucleotide ribosomal RNA is filed under the name uncultured bacterium. Its description in RNAcentral is "partial 16S ribosomal RNA". It matches the Rfam family "Bacterial small subunit ribosomal RNA", at positions 524 to 776 of the family's 1533-position model. The record is from RNAcentral.